Long non-coding RNA from Brassica oleracea var. oleracea, 543 nucleotides. RefSeq lists it as uncharacterized. The record is from RefSeq and is a predicted model, not a curated record. The transcript is spliced from 2 exons. NCBI's taxonomy places the organism in Eukaryota, Viridiplantae, Streptophyta, Magnoliopsida, Brassicales, Brassicaceae.
UUGAAUGGUUCCUACUCUCUCCAAGUCCAUUCGACGUUUUAUUUUUUGCAGAUAUCGCUGACGACGUCUACGAGAUUCUCCAUGGAAGGGUAUGGGCCGGUCACAAUAUAUUGAGGGUUUGAUAUACCAAGGAUAAGAGAAGCGUUUGCAGAGAUUGGACGUGAUCCACCAGAGCCAAAAGGCACCAUUGACUCGUUGGUGUUUCUUACUCAAAAGAUUGGGAGGAGAGCUGGUGAUAUGAACUUGGUUUUAUUCUGCAACCUCAAAGAACAAGCUUGUGAUUGUGAUGUUGUGUGUAACAUAACAAUGGUGUAAAUGUAUGUAGAUGGUAUUGCUGCACAUUGAAGACUGUCCUGAUAAAGAGCCUCUUCGCCAUGGGUUCUAUGCAGGCUCCACUAUGGCCACAAGGAUAACAAUACCAAAUUUCAUCACCAAGUUUAUCUGUUAUAUUUUGCAAUGAGUUUAUUAUUUGCAAUUUGGUUUUCGGUGUCCCAAGAAUACUAACUAUGAUAGUGAUACCCAUUUACAGAUUUUAUUUAUUUA